UAAAUUUGCGUUUUACCUAUUCGUAUAUCUUUGGCAAUACGGGCCAGAGGUCUCUACAAGGAACCGAAAAUUCCUGGCUACGAAUGGACGGUUUUACCGU
Paenibacillus sp. HGF7 is the source of this 100-nucleotide regulatory RNA element. It matches the Rfam family "Purine riboswitch aptamer". From Rfam's summary of the family: Riboswitches are metabolite binding domains within certain messenger RNAs that serve as precision sensors for their corresponding targets. Allosteric rearrangement of mRNA structure is mediated by ligand binding, and this results in modulation of gene expression. NCBI's taxonomy places the organism in Bacteria, Bacillati, Bacillota, Bacilli, Caryophanales, Paenibacillaceae. The record is from Rfam.